UUUUGGAUGUCAUGUGACACACAGCAGGCAACAGCACUUAUGUUUCAUUCAUUUUUUCCUUUAUAUUCUAAACAUUCCCAAACGCAUUAACUAUAUCAUGAAAUAUCUUGAUUCUCACCUUUAUAGAUUAUGAUCAAAGUAACCUAAUAAUGUAAUCUAUUAACUAUGCAUAAAAACCUGUCUGUUUAUGGGUGUCAUGCCAUAACAUUUUUUUAUACAACUGACUUUAUAUUUAAUGUGAAUUUAACACUGAAAGUUUAUGUAACAUGUUUUCUGGUCUUGUCCAGUCUUAAAUCUGUUUUGGUCAGAAAUACAUUCUAGCAUAGAGAAAAUCUUGGAAACUGAGAUAGAAAAAAACAGCUAUUCAGUCAGAAAGAGGCAUUCAGUCAGCGAGCGAGUGAAGAAAACGCCAACAUUUUAGCGAUGACUCAUCUGAACGCCUCUGAUUGGUCAUUGCAUUCAUAAACUCAACAGAAUCGCGUGUGAUUGGUUAUAAUGCACAGUGCUGUAAAAACGCGUCUUUAUCUGGCUCAGCGCCAGCCAGCGAAUGCAGAUUUGAAUUUAGCAGCUAAUGAUAUGAUGCGCUGAACGAUUUAAUCACGCUGGUGUGAUUGUAUUAAAUAUAGAAAAUAUUAAUCGGCUAUUUUUUCUCUUUUGGAAGCUGCAUUCAAAAUCCACUUGGUUCAAAAAUCUGAGGGGGCACGUGCCCCCUGCCCUUGAAUGGGCACGACGCCUCUGGUUUCACUGUCUGUUUGCUCAUGUGCACCAAUCGGAGUGUAAACAUUCAGAAAUCUGCAGUAAGUAUUUUUGCGCAGCUUCUUAAUUCAGACUGAGGCCUGCCACAGUUUAGCGUCACUCUGAUUGAUGCUUAUAAACAUACAAACAGUGCUACAUUUAUUUACCUAUUUGCUAGAUUAUUCCUCCCUUUAAAACCACAAUGGAGCGCACAGCACCUAAGUGUCACCCCAGCUAACACACGACGUAACUGUUACGUAACCUAUUGGUAAUUUUUGGUAAUUUCAUGAUUUACCAAUAGGCAACGUAACCACGACGUCGUAUGCACGUAAUGCCAUUACCAUCUCAUUACCAACUGGCAACGUCGGCAGUACGUCCUCCUAACGUAACAGGAUAACCAAGAACGUCCCAGAGAGGUACUCUAAUCGUAAUAUAUUGGUAAAUUCAUGACUUAGUGGCAACGUAACUGCAACGUUGUAUGCACGUAAUUUCAUUACCAUAAUUUUUGUACGUUCUUUAUGCUCUCUGAUUACCAUAAUGCUAUUUAAAAAGUGUGAUUAAACUUCAGACACAAGAUUGAACGUUCCUUCUUAUAAAAUGUGUUUCUUUUCACCAAGUCAGAAUAUGGACGAUUGCUUUUAAUAUGCCUUUGUAUAGCCCUAUUAAUAAAUUCACAUCAAUUACACCCAUACAGCACUGUUAAAUAUGUUGAAAUAUAUUUUGAAAAUAUAUUUUAAAAAUACAUAAAACAAAGUUAAAAAAUUGUUCCUCACGAUACAUGUGUAAAUAUGUGUACGAAAAAAUAAAUUCCUAUGCCCUAGAUUUUAAUGAAUGUUUUUUCAAUGUUGUUUCUACACCACGUUUACCAUUUCUAAAGCUAUUAUAUUAUAUUAUAUUAUAUUAUAUUAUUAUAAAGUUUUUGCUGGCAGUUUGUCAACGGAUGAAGUAAGCUAACCUUAAUUAAUUUAACCUAAAAGUAUGCACUGUACAGUUAAUCGGAUACGUCACUUACAUGGAGCGUGAAAAUGUGCUGAAACUGAAAACAGGUUUUGAUCUUUCAUGGUAAACACAUAUUGAUACCACUUGUUCUGUGAUUUCAGAAGCGUCAGGAAAAACCCUCUAUUACACAGAAGUUCCUGAUUUUAACAUUUCUGAAGGGAGCUGCUGACAGAGAAAUACACAUCACAGAUUCUUCCAUGCUGAUGGCCGUGCACAAGAGUUAGAGCGUAUCUCCUGUCGAAGAACAUCUCUAGACAUUAUGAACCAUCUGUCUAAGACUGAAAAUCAUCAAUAAACCAAAAGGUAAUUAUAACUUAUUUCAAGAAUAAGAAUAAGAAUAACAAGAAUAAAUAAAAAUGCAUCUGUGACUUAAUAUUGCUUCUUAUUUUUCAGUGAAAGUUGAAAGUUCUCAUUAAACACAUUGCUUUCUUCUCAUCUUUGUGCAUUUUCAGAUGUUGUGCAUAUUUAUGAAUCAAAAUUUGUAACUUUCUUUCUUUAACUUUUUAACAUCAAAUUAACAUAUUAAUUGGUUGUCUUCUUUCUCU
Onychostoma macrolepis is the source of this 2279-nucleotide long non-coding RNA. RefSeq lists it as uncharacterized. The record is from RefSeq and is a predicted model, not a curated record. The transcript is spliced from 3 exons. NCBI's taxonomy places the organism in Eukaryota, Metazoa, Chordata, Actinopteri, Cypriniformes, Cyprinidae.